Molecule: ribosomal RNA, 253 nt
Filed under: uncultured bacterium
Lineage: Bacteria
Description: partial 16S ribosomal RNA
Rfam family: Bacterial small subunit ribosomal RNA
Source: RNAcentral
UAAGUAGGGGGCAAGCGUUAAUCGGAAUUACUGGGCGUAAAGCGUGCGCAGGCGGUGCUGUAAGAAAGGCGUGAAAUCCCCGGGCUUAACCUGGGAAUGGCGCUUGUGACUGCAGUGCUGGAGUGCGGCAGAGGGGGAUGGAAUUCCGCGUGUAGCAGUGAAAUGCGUAGAUAUGCGGAGGAACACCGAUGGCGAAGGCAAUCCCCUGGGCCUGCACUGACGCUCAUGCACGAAAGCGUGGGGAGCAAACAGG